This 141-nucleotide non-coding RNA is filed under the name Streptomyces sp. Lineage: Bacteria; Bacillati; Actinomycetota; Actinomycetes; Kitasatosporales; Streptomycetaceae. The record is from RNAcentral.
CGGCGCCCCCCACAUGUAUGCUCGUCCUCGCUGUCGACGCAGGGGAAUCCGGCGCGAAUCCGGAACUGUCCCGCAACGGUGUGCUUACGUGCGGUUUCGUACGAAGUGAGUCCGAGGACCUGCCGACAGCGCGCCCGGUCC